RNAcentral lists this long non-coding RNA (690 nucleotides) under Mus musculus (house mouse). RNAcentral's name for it is "RIKEN cDNA C530025M09 gene (ENSMUSG00000074737.4)". The record is from RNAcentral. Lineage: Eukaryota; Metazoa; Chordata; Mammalia; Rodentia; Muridae.
AGGCGCCAAGUCGCACCCUGGGCCGGUAUUACCAGUUCCUGUCCUCUCUGCAUCUUCCCCGUCAGGCGCCAUCUCCCCUCUCUCGGGGCGACACUGUGUCUCCCUAGUCCGGCCACUGCGACCCUUCAGGACUUACCGCGGCCGGCACACCAUCACCGCCGCCUGGUCUGCGCGCUGCGAGGCGGAGCAGGACACCCGCCUGCGCCAGGGCAUCCUCUCGCGCCCGCCACACCCGCCCACUCCGGUGGCCCGGGGUCCUCCCGCGCAGCUCUGGUGCUCGGGACUUACCUCCGGGACAAGGUGACCCGGCUGGUGCGCCCAGGCGGCCGCCCGCGCGUCUCGAGAGCCGGGAAGCGUGAGGGGCGCGGGGCGGUGCGGAGCCCGCCUCUGCUUCUGGGCUCGUGGCUCUCCGCCUCUGCCCUCCCCUGCGCGCAGCUUCCCCCGCCGCUCCCCUCCUUGGAUCACUGCCAGCGCCCUGGGCUGCCCCGAGCACACAGUUCCCGAGAGCCGAACACAGGGCUGCGGCGCCACCCUUCCAGAACCCGGUCCUCUUGGCCCCUAGGAGCACAAAGGGCGCGGGCUGAACUAGGGGUGACCCGGGAUGUGCCGUUCCACUCUUUGGUCUCGCGGAGCCUGGCGACUUGUGUGCAAGAGUAUGCGGCCGCGGUCCCCGGGAGAAGGUGGCCGUGA